UACGUAGGGGGCAAGCGUUAUCGGGAUUUACUGGGUGUAAAGGGAGCGUAGACGGCGCUGCAAGUCCGGAGUGAAAGCCCAUGGCUUAACCAUGGUACUGCUCUGGAAACUGUGGAGCUUGAGUGCGGGAGGGGCAGGCGGAAUUCCUAGUGUAGCGGUGAAAUGCGUAGAUAUUAGGAGGAACACCGGCGGCGAAGGCGGCCUGCUGGACCGUAACUGACGUUGAGGCUCGAAAGCGUGGGGAGCAAACAGG
RNAcentral lists this ribosomal RNA (253 nucleotides) under uncultured bacterium. RNAcentral describes it as "partial 16S ribosomal RNA". It matches the Rfam family "Bacterial small subunit ribosomal RNA", at positions 524 to 776 of the family's 1533-position model. The record is from RNAcentral.